This 774-nucleotide long non-coding RNA is filed under the name Citrus sinensis (sweet orange). RNAcentral describes it as "long non-coding RNA (CSIN_LNC000679)". The record is from RNAcentral. Lineage: Eukaryota; Viridiplantae; Streptophyta; Magnoliopsida; Sapindales; Rutaceae.
UUUUUCAAUAUUAUGAUCUGGAUUUUUCAACUGAGUCUUUUUAAAUUUCUCGUCUUUCUCGAACAGUGCAUUGUCAAGACUCUCGUAAAUCAUUUCCCAUGACAAUAAACCCCAUGGACGCUUUCGGAAGUACUGGAUAUCAUCAACUUGGUCAAGCCAAUCGAAAUUAAUUUGACAGUGAUUUUUUCUUGCAUUUAGUACUCUGUCGGCAAAAUAAAAUAGCGCAAUCUUUAAUGCGUCCAUAUCGUCCAUUUCCUCGAAUUUCAACUCCUUAAAUACUGCAUCGAAUUGCUUCACAUUAAUCUUACGAUGCAUCCACCAAAAUACAUAUUCCGUAGCCUCUGCUCCAUUUCAUCAUUUUCUUGAUUGGUAUCAACACCAAAUGAAAGUCCAGUAACCAAGCACCAUUCGACAAUUGACAAGCGAAUCAAAAGCUUACCAAUUUGAAACCAUAAUUGAUUCUCACGGCUAUCUUCUUCAUGGGCCACUUGCCGCAGUAAAGAUUGUGCAAAAUUACCCCACUAAAUGGAAAACUUCGACACUCCAAAAAAUGCCCAAAUAUAUCCUUUUUGAACAUAGUCAACUGCUGCUUUGUUAAUUUUUCCUCGAUGGCUUUUACGACCGAAGAUAACAUACACAUGCUCGAAAUUCGACCAGGAAAGUGAUCAGUAUAACGAAAAUACAUCUUGCCUACUUCAAUAUCUGGUGAUUCUGAUUUCGCCAUGUAUCUGUAAUAUUUAUAAAAUUAUUACAUUACAUUUACAGAAAAAAAAA